CGAGCCGGCCGGGCGGCCGCGUCGGUCCCUCUCACGAGGGGCCGCCGAGGAACGUCCGGGCUCCACAGGGCAGGGUGGUGGGUAACGCCCACCCGGGGUGACCCGCGGGACAGUGCCACAGAAAACAAACCGCCGGCGGCCCUCACGGGUCUGCCGGUAAGGGUGAAACGGCGGUGUAAGAGACCACCAGCGCCCGAGGCGACUCGGGCGGCUAGGUAAACCCCACCCGGAGCAAGGUCAAGAGGGGCCCUCGGAAACGAGGACCCUGCGCGAGCACUCGAGGGCAGCCCGCCCGAGCUCGCGGGUAGACCGCUAGAGGCCGACGGCAACGCCGGCCGUAGAUGGAUGGCCGCCUCCCCCGGCGCCGCAAGGCCCCGGGGAGACAGAACCCGGCGUACAGGCCGACUCGUCCG
RNAcentral lists this RNase P RNA (413 nucleotides) under Streptomyces coryli. Its description in RNAcentral is "Bacterial RNase P class A". It matches the Rfam family "Bacterial RNase P class A". Rfam says of the family: Ribonuclease P (RNase P) is a ubiquitous endoribonuclease, found in archaea, bacteria and eukarya as well as chloroplasts and mitochondria. Its best characterised activity is the generation of mature 5'-ends of tRNAs by cleaving the 5'-leader elements of precursor-tRNAs. Cellular RNase Ps are ribonucleoproteins. The record is from Rfam by way of RNAcentral. Lineage: Bacteria; Bacillati; Actinomycetota; Actinomycetes; Kitasatosporales; Streptomycetaceae.